ACGGAAGGCAGCAGCUAAGAAUAUUCCGCAAUGGACGAAAGUCUGACGGAGCGACGCCGCGUGGAUGAUGAAGGUCGGAAGAUUGUAAAAUCCUUUUAUAACUGAGGAAUAAGUAUGGUGAGAGAAACACCAUAUGGUGACUGUAGGUUAUGAAUAAGCAACGGCUAAUUACGUGCCAGCAGCCGCGGUAACACGUAAGUUGCGAGCGUUGUUCGGAAUUAUUGGGCGUAAAGGGCAUGUAGGCGGUUUUGCAAGCUUGGUGUGAAAUCUCGGAGCUCAACUCCGAAAUUGCGUUGAGAACUGCAUGACUGGAGUCACUGAGGGGCAAUCAGAAUUCCUGGUGUAGGGGUGAAAUCUGUAGAUAUCAGGAAGAAUACCAAUGGCGAAGGCAGGUUACCAGCAGAUGACUGACGCUGAGGUGCGAAGGUGCGGGGAGCAAACAGGAUUAGAUACCCUGGUA
Molecule: ribosomal RNA, 460 nt
Filed under: uncultured Treponema sp.
Lineage: Bacteria; Pseudomonadati; Spirochaetota; Spirochaetia; Treponematales; Treponemataceae
Description: partial 16S ribosomal RNA
Rfam family: Bacterial small subunit ribosomal RNA
Source: RNAcentral